Molecule: ribosomal RNA, 402 nt
Filed under: bacterium
Lineage: Bacteria
Description: partial 16S ribosomal RNA
Rfam family: Bacterial small subunit ribosomal RNA
Source: RNAcentral
UGGGGCAUUUUGCACAAUGGGGGAAACCCUGAUGCAGCGACGCCGCGUGAUUUAGAAGGCCUUCGGGUUGUAAAAAUCUUUUCUAUGGGAAGAAAAUGACAGUACCAUAGGAAUAAGGACCGGCUAAUUACGUGCCAGCAGCCGCGGUAAUACGUAAGGUCCGAGCGUUGUCCGGAAUCAUUGGGCGUAAAGGGUACGUAGGCGGGUAAGCAAGUUAGAAGUGAAAUCCUAUAGCUCAACUAUAGUAAGCUUUUAAAACUGCUCAUCUUGAGGUAUGGAAGAGAAAGUGGAAUUCCUAGUGUAGCGGUGAAAUGCGCAGAUAUUAGGAGGAAUACCGGUGGCGAAGGCGACUUUCUGGCCAUAACCUGACGCUGAGGUACGACAGCGUGGGUAGCAAACAGG